UACGUAGGGUGCGAGCGUUGUCCGGAAUUAUUGGGCGUAAAGAGCUCGUAGGCGGUCUGUCGCGUCUGCUGUGAAAAUCCGGGGCUCAACCCCGGACUUGCAGUGGGUACGGGCAGACUAGAGUGUGGUAGGGGAGACUGGAAUUCCUGGUGUAGCGGUGAAAUGCGCAGAUAUCAGGAGGAACACCGAUGGCGAAGGCAGGUCUCUGGGCCACUACUGACGCUGAGAAGCGAAAGCAUGGGGAGCGAACAGG
RNAcentral lists this ribosomal RNA (253 nucleotides) under uncultured bacterium. RNAcentral's name for it is "partial 16S ribosomal RNA". It matches the Rfam family "Bacterial small subunit ribosomal RNA", at positions 524 to 776 of the family's 1533-position model. The record is from RNAcentral.